RNAcentral lists this ribosomal RNA (468 nucleotides) under uncultured bacterium. Its description in RNAcentral is "partial 16S ribosomal RNA". It matches the Rfam family "Bacterial small subunit ribosomal RNA", at positions 28 to 507 of the family's 1533-position model. The record is from RNAcentral.
GACGAACGCUGGCGGCGCGCCUAACACAUGCAAGUCGAACGGAGCUGCGAGAAGCUUGCUUUUCUUAGCUUAGUGGCGAACGGGUGAGUAACGCGUGAGUAACCUGCCCUGGAGUGGGGGACAACAGGUGGAAACGACUGCUAAUACCGCAUAAGCCCACUAUCCGGCAUCUGCUUGAGGGAAAAGGGUUUAUUCGCUUCAGGAUGGACUCUCGUCCAAUUAGCUAGUUGGUGAGGUACCGGCACACCAAGGCGAGGAUUGGUUGCCGGACUGAGCGGUUGCACCGUCACAAUGGGACUGAGACACGGCCCAGACUGCUACGCGACGCAGGAGUGGGGGAUAUUGCACACUGGGGCAAAACGUGAUGACGCGACGCCGGGUGGAGGAAGAAGGUGUUCGGAUUGUACACUCCUGUGGUUAGGGACGAUAAUGACGGUACCUAACAAGAAAGCACCGGCUAACUACGUG